CUCCUACGGGAGGCAGCAGUGGGGAAUCUUGCACAAUGGGCGAAAGCCUGAUGCAGCAAUGCCGCGUGAGUGAUGAAGGCCUUCGGGUUGUAAAUCUCUGUCGGUUGGGACAAACGGGUUCACAGGUAAUAUUUGUGAGCAGUGAUGGUACCAGCAAAGGAAGAGGCGGCUAACUCUGUGCCAGCAGCCGCGGUAAUACAGAGGCCUCGAGCGUUGUUCGGAAUUACUGGGCGUAAAGGGAAUGUAGGUGGUGACGUAAGUCAGAUGUGAAAGCCCUGGGCUUAACCCGGGAAGUGCAUUUGAUACUGCGUUGCUAGAGUACGAGAGAGGAAAGUGGAAUUCCAGGUGUAGGGGUGAAAUCCGUAGAUAUCUGGAGGAAUACCAAUGGCGAAGGCAGUUUUCUGGCUCGUAACUGACACUGAGAUUCGAAAGCGUGGGUAGCAAACAGGAUUAGAUACCCUGGUAGUCCACGCCGUAAACGAUGGAUGCUUGUUGUUGGAAGUGUUAACCCUUUCAGUAACGAAGCUAACGCGUUAA
This 537-nucleotide ribosomal RNA is filed under the name uncultured bacterium. RNAcentral's name for it is "bacterial SSU rRNA". It matches the Rfam family "Bacterial small subunit ribosomal RNA", at positions 336 to 863 of the family's 1533-position model. The record is from RNAcentral.